RNAcentral lists this long non-coding RNA (966 nucleotides) under Anas platyrhynchos platyrhynchos (common mallard). Its description in RNAcentral is "lncRNA (ENSAPLG00000026706.1)". Lineage: Eukaryota; Metazoa; Chordata; Aves; Anseriformes; Anatidae. The record is from RNAcentral.
AUGCAAGGUCGGGCCCGGCCACGGCUCCCUCUGAGGAUGGCCCCGAGGAGCCAGCUCGUGGCCCGGCCUCGCGUUGGUGCCGUGGAGGUGCUGGAUCAGCCCCUGCUUCCCACAGCAUCUCCAGGGUCUGCCACGCAUCCAGCGUGCACCCACUGUGCAUCUGCCCUGCAUCUGCCCUGCAGCCCCCGUGUCUCUGCUGUGCAUCCAUCACGCAUCUGUCCUGCACCCGCUGUGCUUCUGCUGUGCUUCUGCUCUGCAUCUGCUGCACACCCACCCUGCAACUGCUUUGCAGCCACUGUGAAUCCUCCGUGCAUCCACCAUGCAUCCUCUGUGCAUCCUCUGUGCAUCCUCCGUGCAUCCUCUGUGCAACCAUUGUGCAUCCUCUGUGUAUCCUCUGUGCAUCCUCUUUGCAUCCUCUGUGCAUCCUCUGUGCAACCAUUGUGCAUCCUCUGUGCAUCCUCUGUGCUUCUGCUGUGCUUCUGCCGUGCAUCUGCUGCACACCCACCCCGCACCCUCUGUGAGCCCCCUGUGCAUCCGUUGUGCAUCUGCUGUGCAUCUGCUGCACAUCCUCUGUGCGCCCGCCGUGCAUCUGCCGCGCGCUCGCUGUGCGCUCGCCGCGCAUCCCUCGCACAGCCCCUGCACAGGGGCAGGGCACCCCCUGCCCGUUCUCUGUGCACCAAAGGGGCCCAAUUCGACCCAAAUGGGACCAAUUUGACUCAAAUGGGACCAAUUCGAUGCCCCCCUGCACACGCUGAGGACACAUCGGGUGGCAGGGACGAGGCCAAGCACAGUGCCCGGUGCUUUCUGCUGUCCCCUGGGUGGCUCUGGGGAGGCUGCAGAGCUGGAAGCACUGCUGGCCAUGGGAUGGAGAGGACAGAAGCGUGGCUGUGCCACCCCAGCAGGAAAACUGAGCACGGCACACCAUCCCCUAGCAGCUCCCCAUUAGUCUGGAGGGGGGCACGGUGA